This 459-nucleotide ribosomal RNA is filed under the name uncultured bacterium. RNAcentral's name for it is "partial 16S ribosomal RNA". It matches the Rfam family "Bacterial small subunit ribosomal RNA", at positions 338 to 795 of the family's 1533-position model. The record is from RNAcentral.
CCUACGGGAGGCAGCAGUGAGGAAUAUUGGUCAAUGGCCGCAGGGCUGAACCAGCCAAGUCGCGUGAGGGAUGACGGUCCUAUGGAUUGUAAACCUCUUUUGUCAGGGAGCAAAGGGCGCCACGUGUGGCGCUUUGCGAGUACCUGAAGAAAAGGCAUCGGCUAACUCCGUGCCAGCAGCCGCGGUAAUGCGGAGGAUGCGAGCGUUAUCCGGAUUUAUUGGGUUUAAAGGGUGCGCAGGCGGAAUGUCAAGUCAGCGGUAAAAUUUCGGGGCUCAACCCCGUCGUGCCGUUGAAACUGGCGUUCUUGAGUGAGCGAGAAGUAUGCGGAAUGCGUGGUGUAGCGGUGAAAUGCAUAGAUAUCACGCAGAACUCCGAUUGCGAAGGCAGCAUACCGGCGCUCAACUGACGCUCAUGCACGAAAGCGUGGGUAUCGAACAGGAUUAGAUACCCGAGUAGUC